This 465-nucleotide ribosomal RNA is filed under the name uncultured bacterium. RNAcentral describes it as "partial 16S ribosomal RNA". It matches the Rfam family "Bacterial small subunit ribosomal RNA", at positions 28 to 507 of the family's 1533-position model. The record is from RNAcentral.
GACGAACGCUGGCGGCGUGCUUAACACAUGCAAGUCGUACGGUAAGGCCCUUUCGGGGGUACACGAGUGGCGAACGGGUGAGUAACACGUGAGUAACCUGCCCACAACUUUGGGAUAACGCUAGGAAACUGGUGCUAAUACUGGAUAUGUGCUCCUGCUGCAUGGUGGGGGUUGGAAAGCUCCGGCGGUUGUGGAUGGACUCGCGGCCUAUCAGCUUGUUGGUGGGGUAGUGGCCUACCAAGGCGGCGACGGGUAGCCGGCCUGAGAGGGUGACCGGCCACAUUGGGACUGAGAUACGGCCCAGACGCCUACGGGAGGCAGCAGUGGGGAAUAUUGCACAAGGGGCGCAAGCCUGAUGCAGAAACGCCGCGUGCGGGAUGACGGCCUUCGGGUUGUAAACCGCUUUCAGCAGGGACGAAGCUUUUUGUGACGGUACCUGCAGAAGAAGCACCGGCUAACUACGUG